Molecule: transfer RNA, 85 nt
Filed under: Anaerolineae bacterium
Lineage: Bacteria; Bacillati; Chloroflexota; Anaerolineae
Description: tRNA-Leu
Rfam family: tRNA
About the family: Transfer RNA (tRNA) molecules are approximately 80 nucleotides in length. Their secondary structure includes four short double-helical elements and three loops (D, anti-codon, and T loops). Further hydrogen bonds mediate the characteristic L-shaped molecular structure. tRNAs have two regions of fundamental functional importance: the anti-codon, which is responsible for specific mRNA codon recognition, and the 3' end, to which the tRNAs corresponding amino acid is attached (by aminoacyl-tRNA synthetases). tRNAs cope with the degeneracy of the genetic code in two manners: having more than one tRNA (with a specific anti-codon) for a particular amino acid; and 'wobble' base-pairing, i.e. permitting non-standard base-pairing at the 3rd anti-codon position.
Source: RNAcentral
GGGGCGGUGGCGGAAUGGCAGACGCUGCGGACUUAAACUCCGCUGGCCCGCAAAGGCCGUGUGGGUUCGACUCCCAUCCGCCCCA